This is a long non-coding RNA of Hemicordylus capensis (graceful crag lizard), 2574 nucleotides long. RefSeq lists it as uncharacterized. The transcript is spliced from 3 exons. The record is from RefSeq and is a predicted model, not a curated record. Lineage: Eukaryota; Metazoa; Chordata; Lepidosauria; Squamata; Cordylidae.
CCUCCGUGUAGGCCUCAGUGAAGCCUGAAUUCGAGUAGGCUGGCAAGCCCCAGGAAGAAGGCUGGCAGUCAGAGUGGCCACUACAGCUCUCUGCAGCAGACCCUCCUCCCAGGCCAGACAGCUCAGCCUUUGCCAGCCUCCCAACCAAAAAAAGAGACCACAGCAAAAACUCAGCUCAUUCCAUACAAAGAAUCCUCUAGUCUGCGACAAUUAUCACUGAGUUUCACCUAAAGCAAAAUUUUGAUGAAAAUCUAUGAGUUCUCCAUCAGGCAAAGCACCCAAAGAUUAGAACUCCAAGAGAAACAGAAGGAGUUUUGGGGUGCCAGAAAAGGAAAGAGAGUGGUAAACCAAUCAAGAAUAGGCAGGAGGCAGAUUUAAAACAACUUGACACCUAAUCAAGUCCUAUCUUACAAUCUCCGCAUUCCACUGUUGCAUAAAAGAAGAUGGAGAUGGCACCUACAUCCACUGGAUAACAUCAUGUGCCAGUCAUUUCCCCUGCCCAGUCCCUGGAUGAAUAUGAGCUUUUUCAGGAUAUUCAGAAACAGACUGAAUAUGCAUGAGUCUCACACAUCAGGCGUGAGACUUGAGGAUUCUUGAGAACAGACGCUGAGUCUAAAAAAGGUUGUGUCAGAUAGUACAGGUGUCCACCAUGGAAUUACCUAUUGCCAUGGUAACUGGAGAGCUCUUUAAAUCAAAGCAAUCUGGCUUGACAGGCCACUGGCUAUUAGUUUUAUUGAUCAUACCAGUUUGAUAUGGAUAUCCACCCAACACUACUUUGACUUGUCAAAGUCUAGGCUCACCAUAUCCCCUCCUUCCAAAUGCAGCCUAAGACGACAGGUAGGGUACAGGCCUCCCAUGCUUCAGUGAUUAUACAUGACAUUUACACCCUGCCUCUCCUCUGCUUGGAGGUGGCUUACAAAUAUAACAAAACACUGAGUUAAUAAAGCUCCUAGAAAUCAAUAUAGCCCACCACAUUUUCAAUCCAUUUCAAUAGCAGAACUGACCCAAUGACUUGAUACUGGACAACAACAUUGAUAACCACCCAGUGACCAGAUCGAGACUGGGGGAAGGGAAGAAAAUAACUGGCUACUCCAGCUAACUGAGAAAAGAGGCACCUUUUUUUAAAGUGGUGGCUCCAUUUAACAAGAAAAUAGCAAUGUAUACCACUAUAUACACCCACCCUCCCAUCCUGUCCAAUGGCUGCUGGUGGUGUAUAUCUUGUGUUUCUUUUUACAUUGUGAGUCCCUUUUGGGACAGGGUACAGUUUUUUCAUUCCUUUUGCUAUUUAAACUGCUUUGAGAACCUUCUAUUGUUAAGCAGUAUAUACAUUUUCUAAGAAUGCAAAUUCAGAGAUUUGUUUUGUUUUAUUAUCUCUAUGAGCUGUACUGUAUGAGCUGCACUGUACUUUAGGGUAGAAUUUAAAUAAAUAAAUAACCGGGGGUGGGUAGGGUGGUUUGGAUUAUACUCCCCUUCCCCACAGAUACAAAUGCGCUGCUGCUGUUUUUGAUUGUGUUUGUUGGGCAUUUAUGUAGAUUUUAAUGCAUUUUAAUUAAUUGCAUUGGCUUUUAAUAUUCUAUGUCACUUUUUGUGCCUUUGAAAACAGAGGCAACUGAUAAAUAUUUACUACUACUACUACUAAAAGCAACAGUAAUAACUAGUAAACAUAUAGAUGUGUUGCAGUGAAUCCUAGAAAUGUAUGUGAAACCAGUGUAUAAAGAAUUUUAGUAAAAUCCAAGAGUUUAAAAAUGCAGUUGCUAGGUGGCCAACAGUGUCCACAAAUCCCUUUCUGGCACCCAGCUCUCUCUGGAUACCAGCACAGAGCCCUCCUCUCUGUCAAAUUCCCCGUGUAUUGCAUUAUAUACCACCCUUCUACCAUAAAAAGCCGAACUAAUAAACCAAAACAAUCAGAUGAGUGCAGCAAUAACUGAAUUAAACAAUGUAAAUUAAGUCAUCCACCAAAGGCCAGAGAACAGGUCAUGUGAUGCCUAAAAAACAAUAAAGAAAGGAUGCUAGGGUCUCUCUUGGGGAUGACUUUCAUUAUCGGGGUGCAGUCAUGGAAAAAUAAUGUUGAGAUGUCAAGGCCAGCCAUAAUUUUUGAACCUCUGGAAAGGUCUUUAGAUUUCUGACAUGUAAACCACAUGGCAAAGUAAACAUGAAAUAGUAAUCUUACACAGCUGUGUGGCACAGAAUCCCUUGGUAGCUACUAACACCAUCAAGGACUCAUAUGGACGCUUCCGCCCCUCCCCAUGCCUUUAGUAAGGCUAAGAGCAUGUCCAUCACGAGUCGCUACUCCAUCCACAAACAUAUGGAUGCUGUCCUUUCAUAUCUCUUUAUCACAUGGGAGGCCUAUUCAUCUGAUCAGCCCCUCCAUACAUGCUCCAAAUACUACUUUAAACAAGUAUUUAGAGCAUGUAUACUAGGGAUGUGCACGGAACCGGCAACUGCCAGUUCAAAGGUGGUGGUGGGGAUAGCUUUAAAGACCGGGAGGAUGCUCUCACCCCCGCCUCCCCACACGCAUUUCCCCUGCCGGCAUUGUGUUAAAAUACAAUCCCGCGGGGCAGCAGCGUACCUUCU